RNAcentral lists this ribosomal RNA (486 nucleotides) under uncultured bacterium. Its description in RNAcentral is "partial 16S ribosomal RNA". It matches the Rfam family "Bacterial small subunit ribosomal RNA", at positions 30 to 507 of the family's 1533-position model. The record is from RNAcentral.
AUUGAACGCUGGCGGCAUGCCUUACACAUGCAAGUCGAACGGCAGCACGGGUGCUUGCACCUGGUGGCGAGUGGCGAACGGGUGAGUAAUACAUCGGAACAUGUCCGGUAGUGGGGGAUAGCCCGGCGAAAGCCGGAUUAAUACCGCAUACGAUCUACGGAUGAAAGCGGGGGCCCUUCGGGCCUCGCGCUAUAGGGUUGGCCGAUGGCUGAUUAGCUAGUUGGUGGGGUAAAGGCCUACCAAGGCGACGAUCAGUAGCUGGUCUGAGAGGACGACCAGCCACACUGGGACUGAGACACGGCCCAGACUCCUACGGGAGGCAGCAGUGGGGAAUUUUGGACAAUGGGCGAAAGCCUGAUCCAGCAAUGCCGCGUGUGUGAAGAAGGCCUUCGGGUUGUAAAGCACUUUUGUCCGGAAAGAAAUCCUUGGCCCUAAUACGGUCGGGGGAUGACGGUACCGGAAGAAUAAGCACCGGCUAACUACGUG